Molecule: ribosomal RNA, 777 nt
Filed under: uncultured bacterium
Lineage: Bacteria
Description: bacterial SSU rRNA
Rfam family: Bacterial small subunit ribosomal RNA
Source: RNAcentral
AGAGUUUGAUCAUGGCUCAGGACGAACGCUGGCGGCGUGCUUAACACAUGCAAGUCGAACGAUGAAGCCGGAGCUUGCUCUGGUGGACUAGUGGCGAACGGGUGAGUAACACGUGAGUAACCUGCCCUUGACUCUGGGAUAAGCGUUGGAAACGACGUCUAAUACCGGAUACGAGCUGGGACCGCAUGGUCACCAGCUGGAAAGAACUUCGGUCAAGGAUGGACUCGCGGCCUAUCAGUUAGUUGGUGAGGUAACGGCUCACCAAGACGACGACGGGUAGCCGGCCUGAGAGGGUGACCGGCCACACUGGGACUGAGACACGGCCCAGACUCCUACGGGAGGCAGCAGUGGGGAAUAUUGCACAAUGGGCGCAAGCCUGAUGCAGCAACGCCGCGUGAGGGACGACGGCCUUCGGGUUGUAAACCUCUUUUAGCAGGGAAGAAGCGAAAGUGACGGUACCUGCAGAAAAAGCACCGGCUAACUACGUGCCAGCAGCCGCGGUAAUACGUAGGGCGCAAGCGUUGUCCGGAAUUAUUGGGCGUAAAGAGCUCGUAGGCGGUUUGUCGCGUCUGCUGUGAAAACCCGAGGCUCAACCUCGGGCCUGCAGUGGGUACGGGCAGACUAGAGUGCGGUAGGGGAGAUUGGAAUUCCUGGUGUAGCGGUGGAAUGCGCAGAUAUCAGGAGGAACACCGAUGGCGAAGGCAGAUCUCUGGGCCGUAACUGACGCUGAGGAGCGAAAGCGUGGGGAGCGAACAGGAUUAGAUACCCCGGUAGUCC